Molecule: long non-coding RNA, 1581 nt
Filed under: Homo sapiens (human)
Lineage: Eukaryota; Metazoa; Chordata; Mammalia; Primates; Hominidae
Description: non-protein coding lnc-ROGDI-1:1
Source: RNAcentral
GAGGCUGUAGUCAUGUCCCCAUCCCCCACUGGAUUCCCUACAAGGAGAGGCCUUGGGCCCAGAUGAGCCAGUACAGACUCCAGACAGAGGGGCCCUUGGGGCCCUCCAACCUCAGGUGAUGAGCUGAGAAAGAUGUUCACGUCUAAGCGUCCAGUGUGCACCCAGCGCUCCAUAGACGCCUUUGUGAACUGAAAAGAGACUGGCAGAGUCCCGAGAAGAUGGGGCCCUGGCUUUCCAGGGAGUGCAGCAAGCAGCCGGCCUGCAGGUGAGCAUGGAGGCCCGGCCCUCACCGCCUCGAAGCCAUGCCCCAGAUGCCACUGCCACAGCGGGCGCUCGCUCCUCCCUAGGCUGUUUUAGUAUUUGGAUUUGCAUUCCAUCCCUUGGGAGGGAGUCCUCAGGGCCACUAGUGAUGAGCCAAGAGGAGUGGGGGUUGGGGGCGCUCCUUUCUGUUUCCGUUAGGCCACAGACUCUUCACCUGGCUCUGAAGAGCCACUCUUACCUCGGUCCCCUCCCAGUGGUCCCACCUUCUCCACCCUGCCCUGCCAAGUCCCCUGCAUGCCCACCGCUCUCCAUCCUCCCUCCUCUCCCUCUUCCUCCCGUGGAGACAGUAUUUCUUUCUGUCUGUCCCUUUGGCCCAGACCCAGCCUGACCAACGAUGAGCAUUUCUUAGGCUCAGCUCUUGAUACGGAAACGAGUGUCUUCACUCCAGCCAGCAUCAUGGUCUUCGGUGCUUCCCGGGCCCGGGGUCUGUCGGGAGGGAAGAGAACUGGGCCUGACCUACCUGAACUGACUGGCCCUCCGAGGUGGGUCUGGGACAUCCUAGAGGCCCUACAUUUGUCCUUGGAUAGGGGACCGGGGGGGGCUUGGAAUGUUGCAAAAAAAAAAGUUACCCAAGGGAUGUCAGUUUUUUAUCCCUCUGCAUGGGUUGGAUUUUCCAAAAUCAUAAUUUGCAGAAGGAAGGCCAGCAUUUACGAUGCAAUAUGUAAUUAUAUAUAGGGUGGCCACACUAGGGCGGGGUCCUUCCCCCCUCACAGCUUUGGCCCCUUUCAGAGAUUAGAAACUGGGUUAGAGGAUUGCAGAAGACGAGUGGGGGGAGGGCAGGGAAGAUGCCUGUCGGGUUUUUAGCACAGUUCAUUUCACUGGGAUUUUGAAGCAUUUCUGUCUGAACACAAAGCCUGUUCUAGUCCUGGCGGAACACACUGGGGGUGGGGGCGGGGGAAGAUGCGGUAAUGAAACCGGUUAGUCAAUUUUGUCUUAAUAUUGUUGACAAUUCUGUAAAGUUCCUUUUUAUGAAUAUUUCUGUUUAAGCUAUUUCACCUUUCUUUUGAAAUCCUUCCCUUUUAAGGAGAAAAUGUGACACUUGUGAAAAAGCUUGUAAGAAAGCCCCUCCCUUUUUUCUUUAAACCUUUAAAUGACAAAUCUAGGUAAUUAAGGUUGUGAAUUUUUAUUUUUGCUUUGUUUUUAAUGAACAUUUGUCUUUCAGAAUAGGAUUGUGUGAUAAUGUUUAAAUGGCAAAAACAAAACAUGAUUUUGUGCAAUUAACAAAGCUACUGCAAGAAAAAUAAAACACUUCUUGGUAAC